Molecule: long non-coding RNA, 1250 nt
Organism: Triticum dicoccoides
Lineage: Eukaryota; Viridiplantae; Streptophyta; Magnoliopsida; Poales; Poaceae
Exons: 3
Source: RefSeq, a predicted model, not a curated record
GCUCCCUGUAAUAUCCAUGCCAGCAUAAUAGGAAAGCAUUAUAUGGAUGUGCUUAGAGGCUGCCGACUAAUUACUAUCUCGCAUGAGUAUUGCCUGGUUGUUAAUUAAAUUGUAGCCCCAGACAAUUUUUUUCUGGCAGGUUGGCCAUAAAAGUUCUGUAGAGAAGUACAGUGAAGUGCAUAGGGGCAUACCGCCCAGUCUUUAUCCUCACACCUCCACCGCUUCCUCCCUUGUAUCCAUCUCCUCCAACCUCGGAUCCUCAUCCGCCAUGCCGCCGAUGCUACGCCGUAGAUUCAGAGGCUAUGCCGACAGUGGCGGGGAAGAUUGAAUCCGGGGAAAGUCGACCCGGCAAAUCAUAUAGUCCCAAAAUCCCCGCUGAGUUAUGCUAAAACAAUUGGGGGCGGAGCGCGCGGCCAUCUACGUGGCGAUGACGGCGAGCGCCUGACAAGCCGUGGUUCCCGUAUCGUCUUCUGUCGCCCUGUUUUAGCUGAAGUUCAGGGAGAUAAUUUAUACACCUCCGACUGCUCUGUUUUUGGAGCAAUUCCUUUAAUUGUUUUCAUGCAAACCACUUCCUAUUUCUCAAUCUUGUUCUCGCAUGCGCGAGCUAAGAUGUUAUACUUCGGAUAUGUGGUCAUAGUUUGGAUAUCAGUGUGCUACCACUAAGCAUUAUUAAUUUGUUGCAGCAAAAAAUUCAUCAUUUUUGCCUCAAUCAUUCAGACGAACACACUUGCAAAGAGCAAGGACUGUAUACAGAGUUCAUGUGGAGACAUUCUUGGGUCUGCAAGCCAAAGUUAGUCUUAUAUAUGGGUUCAGAUGACGGUCUAUCAUGCUGGGUUCUGAAACAUCCGACAACAAGGUGUUGACCCGAAAGUUGAAUGGUGAGGUGUCAUACAUCUCAUGGGACAGUUUUUUUACCUUCUAGUGUCACCGCUUCGCUGAAAUCAUCCAUCAGGUCUUUGCUCCUAAAAACCUGUGAAAUCUAAUUUGAAUCUGCUUGGACCAGUAAUUUGAAUCUGCUUGGACCAGCCUGGGCAGUGUCAUGCUGAAUGUGAACCGGGUGUUGUUUUGUAGCCACAAUUGUCAAUUCCCUGCCCGACGACAGGACUGGUUCAUCGUUGUCUAUUCCGAGGUCAUAUGAGGGAACCUCUGUGUUCAGCCCUGAAUCAGGGCCAUAAAUCCAUCGUCUACCAUCUGCUGAUUUGGCCUGAAUUGGCAUCUGUUCAUGCAAUUCAGUAUCAUUGGUUACAUCA